UGCAGCUGUGUCAAAUUCGGUGCCUCUCCACCUGUGGCAGGCACCGGCCCAAAAGGCUGCCACAGAAACACUGUAACACAUGGGCCCUGUUCCUCUCCUGAGCCACAGGGAUAAAUUUUGUUACAGACACCA
This 132-nucleotide small nucleolar RNA is filed under the name Dasypus novemcinctus (nine-banded armadillo). RNAcentral describes it as "Small nucleolar RNA SNORA5 (ENSDNOG00000027786.1)". It matches the Rfam family "Small nucleolar RNA SNORA5". Rfam says of the family: ACA5 is a member of the H/ACA class of snoRNA that guide the sites of modification of uridines to pseudouridines. The record is from RNAcentral. Lineage: Eukaryota; Metazoa; Chordata; Mammalia; Cingulata; Dasypodidae.